AUGAGGCUGACCUGGGAUCAGCUUCCACCCGGAAGAGAUCGCGGACGCUACCGGGCAGGACGCCACGGAGGGAAGGAAAGACUAAAGAAAAGGAUUUAUGAAGAGAAAAAAGCAUCGCAAAGCAGGAGAGAGCCCUCGACUUCACCCCCCGGAUUACACCUGAAGGCUGACAUUUAGUAUCUUCCUCUCUGUGGAAACAAUUGCUGCACUAAAUGUAAACAUUUCGGGUAUUCUGGGGGAUCAAACAUACAUCUUGCCCUCCACUAGACCGUGUUGCUGUCUCUGCCUCAGCUGGGGGGAGAGCAGUGCUGCCCUGUUCUUACACCCCCACCCCUGGGCAGGAUGUAGCAGUCACAUGGCAUACAUAUCCAGAUAAGGGAGAAUCUAGUCUAUUAAUCUACAAGUCAAAGACCCCCUCAGCACCCAUCCCUGUGCAGUGGAGCGGCCGAGUGAAGCUGUCUGAUGAAGUCUCCUCUGGAAACGCCUCUCUGCUAAUCUCUGCGCUCAGACUGGAGGACACUCGGGAUUACACGUGUAUAGUGGAGAUCAAUGGGAUAUGUGUCACGUUCAGGGCUGUCAAUCUGACAGUUCAAGGACCUCCAAAGAGAGAUUCAACUACUUCAAGAAAAACAAAGACCAUAAACAAGAAAACUAGACCAUCAGCAACCCCGACAACGAGACCAUCAGCAACCCCAUCAACUAGACCAUCAGUAACCCCGACAGCUAGACCAUCAGCAACCCCGACAACUAGACCAUCAGCAACUCCCGCUAUCCUCUCUGCAGUAGCCGUCUCUGCUGUCAUCAGCAUCAUAGGUGCUGCAGUCUUUGUCAUUUUAAAGUACAAAAGGAGAGCAGGUAACAGAUUAAGCUUUUCAUUUGUUUUACCACAACCUACAAUGGGAGCUGUUUAAACCCUGCCCUGGAUCUCUCAGCUCCGGUCUAACUGGACUCUAUUGAGACAACACCUCCUCCACCCUGCUUGUAAAGGCACAGUCUCACCUGUAGGGGGCAGUUUAAAGCAGUUCAAACCCUGCCCUUGGUCUCUUGGCUCUUGUCUAACUGGACUCUAUUUCCACAACUCCUCCCCCUGCUUGUAAAGAUUAUUGACUCUUGUUUUGUUUUCCUUUCCAUUUUCAGCGAAUGCUAAUGGGAAUAACCAGAAUGCUGGAGAUCACAAUGCGAGCUCAGACUUGCUUACCUACGCUGUAAUCGAUCACACGAGACAGCCGGGAGGAGCCCCAGUCCGGUCAGGGGUCAGUGCUGUGGACAAUACAGAGUACGCCACUGUCCGGAUCCACUGAUAGGACACGUCUCACCCAGCCACCAGGGAUACAAGAGAGCUUCAACAACAAGAUGAACCAAGGACUUGACUAACAUUGAUUUACUGCAGCGCUUCAAUGAAUCAUACCAACUCUGAUGAGAACAAUAAACACAGCUAGCCACUAACAAGCAACCACCUGACAUUCUUAAUUCGAUCUGAACCAUUUCACUGCCACUGCUAAUAGAACGCUGUGGCCAUAUUUGCAAAGCAUUUCCUCCUGUUUUUGGAAAGUAUAACAUUCCAUGUUAAAAGGGUUUUAAAUCUUACCUGUUUAUUCGCUAUGCAGGUCACAUGUGUAGUUUUGAAAGAAGCACAUGUUAUAUAACAAGCGUGCUUUUUCCUUUUUUUAAAAUGUUAUCAUACUGGUACCAUACAGUCGUGUGCAAAUGUAUUAGAACACCAAGAUGUGUAAUUGAUAUCCUUCAUAUACGUACCUGCAUGAAAACCUCUGGGGGUGAGAAUUUCAAUUUUCAAUCAGUAAUCGAUGAUACAGAAACGAUAGACACUCAUGUGUGAAAAUGUUAGACCGCUUUGUGCUUCAAUUAGGCAUCUUAAACAACUUCUAAAAAGUCUCAUGCAUUUUAUCAUUAGCAGCUGUGUGUUCCUUUUCUCUUACUAUGUAAUUAAUUGCAUGUGUUGCCUAUUAAAGGCAUCAAUUAAAUUAGACAAUCGCUGUCCGUUUUGACAUUUUCCAGUGGUUUGAUUUCCUAUGCACAACAAAUCCACACAGCAGAAGCAAUGGGGUGUUGUAAUGCAGGUGCGCACUGCUGUACUAGUUUGCAUGCCUUACUUUGAUAACACACACACCAGUCCCAAGCUGAGCUCCUGCAGGUGGUGUGAUCCCAGCCUCACAGAAGAGAAGCCAGUCCUCCUCAUUGCAGUGUUCAUCCACAUUGUUAACGAGAGCCUUUACAGCAGGAGAUCGCUCACCAGCACAGAGAUGCGUCAUGAAAGAGGCCCCAGGGGCUCUGCUUCAUGACUGCAAGCCCUUGAAUGCAUGCGCGUGUAGCAGGGAGGGAGUAGGGGGGGGGGGUUAGGUAAGCAGUUGAAUUCUGGUCCUGAGCCUCACUUCCUUUUGCACCUGCUCUGAGACAGGCUGCUGUGUGUAAAACUUGACCGCUCUGCUGGAUUGGGGAGUAAAGCAAUACUUCCACAUUCAAACUCAUUUGAUUAGAUUGUAUAGGCCUGUGUUCAUUUAUUUCACUUUGAACAAACACUUGUGCUUGCUAAGGUUUGCUAGCUGUCUUCUCUCAUCCUUGUGGCAGCUGUGAUGUACCUUUAAUGCUUAUCUCAUCAGACCAUGUGGAAUAUUAAUAAACAUCGCCAUCGCUGCUUUGAA
Molecule: RNA transcript, 2660 nt
Organism: Acipenser ruthenus (sterlet)
Lineage: Eukaryota; Metazoa; Chordata; Actinopteri; Acipenseriformes; Acipenseridae
Exons: 4
Source: RefSeq, a predicted model, not a curated record